AGCAGUAGCCACGGUAAUACGAAGGGUGUAAGCGUUAAUCGGAAUUACUGGGCGUAAAGCGUGCGCAGGCGGUUUGUUAAGACAGAUGUGAAAUCCCCGGGCUCAACCUGGGAACUGCAUUUGUGACUGGCAAGCUAUAGUGUGGCAGAGGGGGGUGGAAUUCCGCGUGUAGCAGUGAAAUGCGUAGAUAUGCGGAGGAACACCGAUGGCGAAGGCAGCCCCCUGGGCCAACACUGACGCUCAUGCACGAAAGCGUGGGGAGCAAACAGGAUUAGAUACCCGCGUAGUCCCUGUCUCUUAUAC
RNAcentral lists this ribosomal RNA (303 nucleotides) under uncultured bacterium. RNAcentral's name for it is "partial 16S ribosomal RNA". It matches the Rfam family "Bacterial small subunit ribosomal RNA", at positions 507 to 807 of the family's 1533-position model. The record is from RNAcentral.